CAGCCGCCGCGGUAAUACCGGCGGCCCGAGUGGCGGUCACUAUUAUUUGGCUUAAAGCGUCCGUAGCCGGGUUGGGAAGUCCUCCGGGAAAUCUGGCCGCUUAACGGUCAGAAUGCCGGAGGAUACUCCCAGCCUAGGGAGCGGGAGAGGCCGAGGGUAUUCCCGGAGUUGGGGGGAAAUCCUAUAAUCCCGGGAGGACCACCGGUGGCGAAGGCGCUCGGCUGGAACGCGUCCGACGGUGAGGGACGAAGGCCAGGGGAGCAAACCGGAUUAGAUACCCGGGUAGUCCUGGCUGUAAACGAUGCGGACUUUGUGUCGGACAAGCUAUGAGCUUGUCCGGUGCCGGAGGGAAACCGUUAAGUCCGCCGCCUGGGGAGUACGGCCGCAAGGCUGAAACUUAAAGGAAUUGGCGGG
Molecule: ribosomal RNA, 414 nt
Filed under: uncultured microorganism
Description: bacterial SSU rRNA
Rfam family: Archaeal small subunit ribosomal RNA
Source: RNAcentral